Molecule: ribosomal RNA, 459 nt
Filed under: uncultured bacterium
Lineage: Bacteria
Description: partial 16S ribosomal RNA
Rfam family: Bacterial small subunit ribosomal RNA
Source: RNAcentral
CCUACGGGCGGCAGCAGUGAGGAAUAUUGGUCAAUGGUCGGGAGACUGAACCAGCCAAGCCGCGUGAGGGAGGAAGGUACAGAGUAUCGUAAACCUCUUUUGUCAGGGAACAAAGGCGGGGACGUGUCCCCGGAUGAGUGUACCUGAAGAAAAAGCAUAGGCUAACUCCGUGCCCGCAGCCGCGGUAAUACGGAGGAAGCGAGCUUUAACCGGAUUUAGUGGGUUUAACGGGUGCGCAGGCGGUAUGUUAAGUCAGCGGUCAAAGCCCGGGGCUCAACCCCGGCCCGCCGUUGAAAAUGGCAGUCUCGAGUUGGAGAGAAGUAUGCGGAAUGCGCGGUGUAGCGGUGAAAUGCAUAGAUAUCGCGCAGAACUCCGAUUGCGAAGGCAGCAUGCCGGCUCCACACUGACGCUGAGGCACGAAAGCGUGGGUAUCGAACAGGAUUAGAUACCCUGGUAGUC